Molecule: long non-coding RNA, 2525 nt
Filed under: Equus caballus (horse)
Lineage: Eukaryota; Metazoa; Chordata; Mammalia; Perissodactyla; Equidae
Description: lncRNA (ENSECAG00000050848.1)
Source: RNAcentral
AUCACAGUGUGAUUGAUAUGACCACAAUAACUUUUCCUCUGACUUUCGAAAAAGCUAGAGACGCAAACACAAGCCUUCAGCAUUGUGACUUGGGCUUCCAGCAUUGUGACUCGGGCUGCUAGGAUCACUCCCCUGGCCUGCGUUACAGACUCUGUCUCAGUCUGUGAUGUCUUCCCUGCAGGGUCUCCCUCUCGGGGAAAGGGGAACUGAAUAAUGAUUUGAAAACUUGCUCAGCAGCAUCAAGCCCGCUUGACUGGGUUAGAAAGAAAAAACCAAAACAAAACAAGUGACUUCCCUGAAGUGACCAGUGACCGCAGUCGUGGCAGGAUUAUGCAGAACUGGAGUGGGCUGAAUGAUUGGAAAGACAGCCUGUCUGCUGGUUACCUAAAAUAACAUCGUUGGUGGAUAUCAGCAAAUCACACAUGGUCGAGAUGGGGAGACUGACAGUCAGCCCCUGGCAAGGUUUCCCUGUGACUUGGGGUUUGAGAGUCUCUGGAGGCUGUGGGAAGACAGAAGCAGAUACUGACUCAGUUCCUGCCCAGAACAAUAGUUGAGCGUAUGUGUGUGCAUAGGUGUCUGUGUGUAUUUGGUGUCCAGAUAUGCACUGUAUGUGUAUAUGUACAUUUAUGUGUGGUCUGUGUGUGUGUGCUGGGAGUAGUAUAAGUGUGGAGGGUGGUGUGUAUAUUUCUGCCCUGUGUGCCACGACUGUGGUGUGUAGGUGUGGUUGUGUGUGUAUUUGCCUCUGUGUGUGUGUGUGUUAUGAAGGUGCUGAGGCAAACAUUCUGCAUGAGACUGAGAAGAUGGUGACCAGGAGAGAAAAGAAUGGAGGCGACUCUCUCUUAGCCAAGCCCUUGAAGUGCAUUGGACAUGUUCAUCCCAGGGGGCCGAGUGAACAGGAGACUGACUGGGCCACCGAGCAACUGAUAGCACCUAGCGAUGGUCCCACUUGGUUGGGAAGGCUCCUCGCCUCUGCAGGCGUGUUUGCACCUCCGCCUCGGGGCCGCAGGAACCUGGACUCAGGGACUAUUUAGACAACACUGAGUUGGAGGAGAAGACUACCAACUGCUCUGGAUUGAUGACACCGUUUGGGCGUAAAAUGGGCAGAAGGAGGAUGGUAGGAAGAAAAGCAGGAGAGAUGUUGCUGCCUCUUCUCAGAGGUAACACGAGCUGCCUAAACCUCUGCUGAGGAGAUAGAAGGCAAGCAUCCUGGGAGAGGAACCCCUUGGGAGAGUUUGAAGGAGACUGAGUGUCAAGGAAACCCGCAAACUACAGCAGAAAGGCAAGAAUGGAUUGUGGCUAGCUGGACACUGGGCCCUCCGCUGGCACUGUGGUCACUGCUGGCCCCAGUGCCACCAAUGCCACAGGACACUGGAUGCCAUAGCCACCAACUCCACCAGAAGGAGUUCCGAUUAUGUUGUUCAGUCUGGAUUUAGAAGUCUCAGCUAGGAAUAGUGGCAGAAGUAAUUGAGAAGCAAGAAGUAUGAGGAUGGACGGGGAGGGAGCAAACCACUUACCCGGUCAUGGACGAUUUGCCAGGAGCUGGGCCUUUAAUCAUCAGUUUUCUAUUAAUUCCUGGAACCAGACCCUCCCUGGCACAAUGGAUACAAACCAGGACCAAUCAGGACCAAUCAGGAAAAGUCUGGAAGGGUCCCAAACUUGGAACUUCUGUGUCCUCUCCACAUGGAACCCAGGGCGCACUCGACCCUCUCAGCGCAUCAAUGUGUUCACCUGCCAGGAAGUUCACCCAAGCCUCAGUGUCCAGAGUUUUUCUUGGGGUUUCAUUACAUAAGCAUGGUUAACUGAAUCCCUGGCCAUGUGAUUGAACUCAGUCUUUCUCAGUUGAACCCACCCCUCUGGACUGAUAUCACAUGGCUCAAAGCCCCAACUCUCUAAGCACAUGGUUGAUCUUUCUGACAUUGCCAGCCCCCAUCCUGAAUCUAUCUAGGACCCACCAGGAGUCACCUCAGUAGCAUAAACUCAAGUGUGUUCCUGGGGGCCCACUGUGAAUAACAAAUCCCAAGAGUUUAGAAGCUUCAUCCCAGGAAUCCAGGACAAAGACCAGAUAAAUUAUUAUACAACAAUAUCCCAUAGCAUGGCUGUCACAAGGCUGAAACAUUUAAGCUGGAUCUGACUAAAGGCUAACACUGUGAUGGCUAGAGUUUCCCUUGGAUCCCAACCUGCUGUGAUCUUAGUGACAGCCUAGUGUGCUGUGUGGAGGAUUCUGAAGCCACUUCCAGGAUUAAUUGGAAGGAGGGACAUGAUCAACUAGUCAUGACAGCCCUGGAAUAGAAGGGCAUUGGAAGGGGAGAGUGAGAGUGUGCAUGUGGGGUACUUGCUAACGCUGGGCUAAGGGAUUAAAAAAAAAAAAAGGAAAAAUCAUUUGCUGUUUGCUAACGAAGACUUGCUCAUUAGAACAUGUAAGACCCAUCCCACUUCAGCUCCUGUCCUAAUGCCAUGUAGUGGGUGCCAUGUUUAACCCUUACCACACAAGAGGUCAUGUCUUUUUAUUUCUUCUCAAAAUCUAG